GGUGCUGCUCUGUGUGCUUUAGUGGUAGAGAACCUGCUUUGCAUGCAGAAGGUCCUGGGUUCAAUAUCCUGCAUUGCCA
This is a non-coding RNA of Podarcis lilfordi (Lilford's wall lizard), 79 nucleotides long. The record is from the annotation of a GenBank genome assembly. NCBI's taxonomy places the organism in Eukaryota, Metazoa, Chordata, Lepidosauria, Squamata, Lacertidae.